CCCUUAGACGUUCUGGGCCGCACGCGCGCUACACUGACGAAGGCAACGAGCUUUCCUUUACCGAAAGGUACGGGUAAUCUUUUGAAACUUCGUCGUGCUGGGGAUAGAUCCUUGCAAUUUUUGAUCUUAAACGAGGAAUGCCUAGUAAGCGCAAGUCAUCAACUUGCGUUGAUUACGUCCCUGACCUUUGUACACACCGCCCGUCGCUACUACCGAUUGAAUGGUUUAGUGAGGCCUUCGGAUACGCGACUCGUUUGUGGAGAAGUUGGACAAACUCAGUCAUUUAGAGGAAGUAAAAGUCGUAACA
This 307-nucleotide ribosomal RNA is filed under the name uncultured eukaryote. Its description in RNAcentral is "partial 18S ribosomal RNA". It matches the Rfam family "Eukaryotic small subunit ribosomal RNA", at positions 1470 to 1796 of the family's 1831-position model. The record is from RNAcentral.